Molecule: long non-coding RNA, 735 nt
Organism: Quercus robur (English oak)
Lineage: Eukaryota; Viridiplantae; Streptophyta; Magnoliopsida; Fagales; Fagaceae
Exons: 2
Source: RefSeq, a predicted model, not a curated record
UGAAAAAGACAAAACCUCUUCUUUGAUUCUUGAAUAGGCCUGUCCAAAAAACAAUAGACCCGACCCACCCAGCUUAACCGACCGGACCCAAACCAUCCAUCACUCGACCCAACUUCUUGGCAGUUGAUGGCAAGUCCUUGCCUUCCCAACUCGGUUCCGGCAUGUUGAGUUGCGGGUCUUCCCUUCCAAAACCCGAUCCACCCAACCCGACCAUGAUAGAUAACCCUUACACUCCUCAGUCAUUACUAUUUGUUUCUCAGUCCUCUUUUUCUCUCUCAGUCUCUAGGAUCUCUCUCACUCUUGAUCUCUCAACACUCAAUAGCUAAAACCUCCAACCCAUCACUGAUCUGCAAAUCUCCAUUGCCCAUCACCGAACUGCAAAUCUCCUCCAUCACCCAUCGUCGAUAUGCAAAUACCUUGCUUAGAUCUAGCCAUUGUCUACUCGAGCCUGAUUCAACUCGACCCGCGGUUUUUCAAGAUCGGCAGUGGGUUGACUGUCCUACAACCCGACUGGAUCAGGUUGGUUUUGGGUCGAGCCCAAACCCGAACCGGCCAGACCCAUGGACACCCCUACUCUAGAACUUGAUUUAUUACUUCGUCUAACACUUAUAUAUGACAUUCCUCCCACUCUUAUGUGAUAGGGAUAUUACAUGCAAUUGUUAGUCUACUUUACGUUUUACCCUUUCUUAAUUUUAGCUAUCUAUCCAUAAAUUAAUGGUCCACAAUGGUUUCUCA